Molecule: ribosomal RNA, 605 nt
Filed under: uncultured eukaryote
Lineage: Eukaryota
Description: bacterial SSU rRNA
Rfam family: Eukaryotic small subunit ribosomal RNA
Source: RNAcentral
CCGGCGAGGCGACGGCGUUCUCGCCGGAUGUACGGAACCGACCCGGGGGACCGCCGGGGCAACCCGGCGCCCCCGAGACGGGGCGAACCACGGUGAAAUGACGGAUCGUCGGCCCCGCGCCGGCGACUCGCCGAAUGAGUUUCUGACCUAUCAACUCGAGACGGCGGGGUAGAGGCCCGCCGCGGUAACGACGGGUAACGGGGAAUCAGGGUUCGAUUCCGGAGAGGGAGCCCGAGAAACGGCUACCACUUCCAAGGAAGGCAGCAGGCGCGCAACUUACCCUAAUCUCGAUUCGAGGAGGUAGUGACAAGAAAUACCGAUGCGGGACCCUACGGGUGCCGCGUUCGGAAUGAGUACGAUUCGAACCACCUAACGAGGAACGAUCGGAGGGCAAGUCUGGUGCCAGCAGCCGCGGUAAUUCCAGCUCCAAUAGCGUACGUUAAAGUUGCUGCAGUUAAAAAGCUCGUAGUUGAACGUUCGGGUUCCGCGGGACGGGGCCGCCCCGCGAGGGACGGCGCCGCCCCGGGGCUCGUGAUAUCUUAUCUCGCCGCCCGUCGCGAGGCGGACGGAGGGAUGGAUGAGGUUACCUGGAAAAAAAUCGGGGC